GCGUCCUUAGCUCAGUUGGAUAGAGCAACAGCCUUCUAAGCUGUGGGUCAGAGGUUCGAUUCCUCUAGGACGCGCCA
Molecule: transfer RNA, 77 nt
Filed under: Succinivibrio dextrinosolvens
Lineage: Bacteria; Pseudomonadati; Pseudomonadota; Gammaproteobacteria; Aeromonadales; Succinivibrionaceae
Also listed under: 8 other names
Description: tRNA-Arg
Rfam family: tRNA
About the family: Transfer RNA (tRNA) molecules are approximately 80 nucleotides in length. Their secondary structure includes four short double-helical elements and three loops (D, anti-codon, and T loops). Further hydrogen bonds mediate the characteristic L-shaped molecular structure. tRNAs have two regions of fundamental functional importance: the anti-codon, which is responsible for specific mRNA codon recognition, and the 3' end, to which the tRNAs corresponding amino acid is attached (by aminoacyl-tRNA synthetases). tRNAs cope with the degeneracy of the genetic code in two manners: having more than one tRNA (with a specific anti-codon) for a particular amino acid; and 'wobble' base-pairing, i.e. permitting non-standard base-pairing at the 3rd anti-codon position.
Source: RNAcentral